GAUGAACGCUAGCGGCAGGCUUAAUACAUGCAAGUCAAGGGGGUAGCAAUACAACCGGCGCACGGGUGAGUAACGCGUACACAACAUACCAUAUACUGGAGUAUAGCUUUGGGAAACUGAAGGUAAUCCUCCAUAACAUUGCGAGAGGGCAUCUGAUUGCAAUUAAAGUUCCGACGGUAUAUGAUUGGUGUGCGUUUGAUUAGCUAGUUGGUAGGGUAACGGCCUACCAAGGCGACGAUCAAUAGCUGGCGUGAGAGCGCGACCAGCCACACUGGAACUGAGACACGGUCCAGACUCCUACGGGAGGCAGCAGUAGGGAAUAUUGGACAAUGGGCGAAAGCCUGAUCCAGCCAUGCCGCGUGAUAGAUGAAGGCCCUCUGGGUUGUAAAUAUCUUUUAUCUGGGAAGAAACUCCUCUAUUCUUAGAGGCCUGACGGUACCAGAGGAAUAAGCACCGGCUAAACUCCGUGCCAGCAGCCGCGGU
Molecule: ribosomal RNA, 483 nt
Filed under: uncultured bacterium
Lineage: Bacteria
Description: bacterial SSU rRNA
Rfam family: Bacterial small subunit ribosomal RNA
Source: RNAcentral